Megalobrama amblycephala (Wuchang bream) is the source of this 1750-nucleotide long non-coding RNA. RefSeq lists it as uncharacterized. The record is from RefSeq and is a predicted model, not a curated record. The transcript has 3 exons. NCBI's taxonomy places the organism in Eukaryota, Metazoa, Chordata, Actinopteri, Cypriniformes, Xenocyprididae.
AAUGUGCCUUAGCUAUUAGGAACACCUAAGUUUGUAUGUAAAUUGACAUAAAUGUUUUGUUUUUAAGAUGUUUAAAAUAAAAACAAUACAAAACAAACAAAGAAAACAUAUAAUGGAAGUGAUCAUAACAAUUUAGGUUAGUAAGAAAUGUUAUUUUUCAUUGAUAGUGGGAAGUAAAGUUUGGAGACAGAGAUGUGGCAGUCUCAGAUGCUGCUUGUUCCUGCAAUUUUACUUCAUUCUGCUGGUGGCUCUAAUGCUGCUGGUAGUCACUCUAAUCUGAACUGUUUUGGCUUGUUUGAGUACUGUGUAAAACUGUGAUUAAUUUAAUAAUUUGUUUUUCAGAGGCCCAGUUUGUGGAUAGGAACUCUGCAAUGCUUAUUCAAAGGGUUAAGGUUGUGAUGGCAAUAGCAGAUGAGUUAAAAAAUAAAGACAUGAUACAUGAUGAAACAUAUUCAGAGAUCAGAGCAGAAGUAACCAACCAGGGCAAAAUGAGAAAGUUGUUUGAAGCUCUGCAUUCUGGAGGAGACAGAGUGAAAAAGGGCUUUUAUUAUGCACUGAAAAAUCAUGAACAAUUCCUCUUCAAAGACCUGGGUGGUGUAACAAGUGAAAACAAAUAUGAGGUGGAUGAGGAGCACUGAAAUCAAACAAUAACCACCUUUUGUACAGGAAGAAGACCCCUGCAACCAAGAAACAGACAUGACCUGGAAAAAAGAAAGAGAGGAUGCAGUCACCUGAACAUAAAACAAUGUUUCAAAUGCAGAGGAAACUUUUACCUCAAAAUUACAAUUGUACUCACUCUCAUGCCAAUGAAAAGGAGAAAUUUAUCAGAUAGACUUUGUUCUACACAUUUGUAUAAAAGUGACCUUUUUUACUUUUGUGAUCCAUGGAAGAAAACAUCCUACAGGUUUUAAUUUUUAGGUGAACAUUUUUAAGCCAUACACAUUUUAUGCUGUUUUAAUGCCAAAAGUCCAACAUUUUAUACAUUGAGAAAAAAUUGUGUAGGAAUUACUUUUACUCAAAAAUUGCUAAACUUCACUAAUAAAGAAAUGAAAAGAAACACAUUGAAUUAACAUGGAAUUGAGAAGCAGAAAGACUGUAAGGUGUUACAGUAUGUAAUCAUCCAUAGAUAUUAAACCUUUAUUUUUGUUCCAUAUUUUUAUCUUUUUAUUAUUAUAAAUGUAUUUAUAUUAAGAAAAAGAUGAUGAAUAAUACACUUGCAAAUAAUUUCUUACAGUGCUUGCAAAGUAGCACUUUUUUACAUUUUGCUAAUAUUUGUGGUUUGUUCUGAAAUUCUGCCUUUAUAUUGUUUGUUUUCUUUCACGGGGAAUGAACUACACGUUGAAAUAAUUAACAUGCAUUUGUUUUUGCAUUUCACUGGGAAGGGUUCCUUUCACAUUAAUAACUGAUUGAUUGAUGCUUUAUUUGUCAUUUCUAUAUGUUGCAUAGAAACAAAAUUGUGUUUCACACGUCAACAGCUUACAGUGGAAUAAUAAAGGCACUUUUUAGACAGGUGGGUACACUGGCCUGGCUGAAAGAGAUGUUAAAUAUAUAACAAAAAAAACUCCUUUAAUUGCUCUGAGCACCUUUUAGUACACAACCUGGAAUCUGGUCAGGCCCAGCAGCCUUCUGUGGGUUGAUCUUAGUAAAGACCCUCUUAACGCUGUCUACUGUCAACUGCAGUACCUGUUGAACAGAAGACUGUUCCUGCAUGUGUGCAGCUCUGAUGUUCUUAACCUCAAACCGAGAAAAA